Molecule: transfer RNA, 106 nt
Filed under: archaeon
Lineage: Archaea
Description: tRNA-Arg
Rfam family: tRNA
About the family: Transfer RNA (tRNA) molecules are approximately 80 nucleotides in length. Their secondary structure includes four short double-helical elements and three loops (D, anti-codon, and T loops).
Source: RNAcentral
GGGCCUGUAGCAUAGUCUGGAUAUCGUGUACGAUUUGGUCACGAUAGUGCACAUAGUGCGUUCGGCUUCGGACCGGAUGACCGGGGUUCAAAUCCUCGCAGGCUCA